UAGAUUGAAGCCAGUUGUUUAGGGUAUUUAGCUGUUAACUAAAUUUUCAUGGGGUAGAAACCCAUCAAUCUAG
Molecule: transfer RNA, 73 nt
Filed under: Spilogale gracilis (western spotted skunk)
Lineage: Eukaryota; Metazoa; Chordata; Mammalia; Carnivora; Mephitidae
Also listed under: 4 other names
Description: tRNA-Asn
Rfam family: tRNA
About the family: Transfer RNA (tRNA) molecules are approximately 80 nucleotides in length.
Source: RNAcentral